GACCGGCCGGCUAGGUAAACCCCACCUGGAGCAAGACCGAAUAGGGGGACAUUGGGAUUGCCCGUCCCGUUCCCGGGUAAGGUUGCUGGAGGUACUAGGUAACUAGUAUCCUAGAUAGAUGACCGCUUUUAACAAAACUCGGCUUAUAGAUUUGCUCAAUUG
This 162-nucleotide RNase P RNA is filed under the name Clostridia bacterium. RNAcentral's name for it is "partial RNase P RNA component class A". It matches the Rfam family "Bacterial RNase P class A", at positions 191 to 367 of the family's 367-position model. From Rfam's summary of the family: Ribonuclease P (RNase P) is a ubiquitous endoribonuclease, found in archaea, bacteria and eukarya as well as chloroplasts and mitochondria. Its best characterised activity is the generation of mature 5'-ends of tRNAs by cleaving the 5'-leader elements of precursor-tRNAs. Cellular RNase Ps are ribonucleoproteins. Lineage: Bacteria; Bacillati; Bacillota; Clostridia. The record is from RNAcentral.